This is an RNA transcript of Vigna angularis (adzuki bean), 2296 nucleotides long. RefSeq lists it as uncharacterized. The transcript has 5 exons. The record is from RefSeq and is a predicted model, not a curated record. Lineage: Eukaryota; Viridiplantae; Streptophyta; Magnoliopsida; Fabales; Fabaceae.
UUUUUUUCAUUUCCCUCACAUUUUUUUAGCAUUCCCUCCCAAAAUUUUACUUUUUUUCACUCCAAAUUUUAGAUUCUUCUUUUCUAGAAUUAGAACACAACAAACCCAAAAGAAAGAAACCCUUUGUGCCUCAGCUUCUUCCCUGACCUUUCACUGUCUCAGUUUUCUCUUCACCCUUGAUUGACCACCUCAAUACGGUGGAGACGCCCGUCACCGUGGAGGACUGGCCACCAUGGCCCACAAAUUGGGGGGCUGAAGAAGCAGCACAGCGUGGAGUACUGGAUGAUGAGGUCGCUUCUCCACAACGUCGAGGGCAGAGAAGUGGUUAGGGUUUCAGAUCCGCAACUCGCCAAUGCCUUCUUCAUUCCGUUCUUCUCUGCGCUCAGUUUCAACACGCACGGCCACAACAUGUAGGAUCCUGCCACAGACACGGAUCGUCAAUUGCAGUUUUUGUAAUAUUUGCCAAUAGGUCACUGAAAGUAAUAUUGAGGAGUUUAAAGCAAACAAUGGGGGAUCUGACUCUGGGAAACGACAUCAGAGGGUAUUUUUGCCGCUUCGGCAUUACCACUACCGCCAGUGAGCUCACUCGAAGGUGUUCCAACACUGUAGGAGCUAUUAUAUGGUAUGACAUAUGCAUCAUUCGUUACACCAAGGUAUGACUAAAUUUUUAUAUGUAUAAAUCACUGUUUGUUUCCCCUUAAUAGUACCUUCUUGUUUUGUUUAUCAAAUGAAAUUGUCAAACUGAUUUGGAUAAUUGAACUAGCUAAUAAUGGCUCCUUUUUUCUCUACUCAUUAUUUAUCGAAUUAACUAAUCUGUUUACUGAAAUUUGGAAGCUCAAUUGUAGCUAUAUGCUCUGAUCAUGAUUUCAAAUUUUGGGAUAUAGUUACCGAGAUUCCUUACUACUAAUUAAUUAAUCAUCAUAAAAUUUCUUUUAACAGAUUAUGGAAUGAAAAGCAUUGACAUUUCAAGCAUGUGAUGGAGUACCAUUUACCAAUUUCAUUGCUGAAUUUUUAUAUGUAUAAAUCACUAUUUGUUUAUUAUGGGAAUAAGGUUUCAAAUUUUAGAUCCAGAAGCAUUUAUAGGCCAAUUCUUGGUGCUGCGGAAAAUUAUGGGAAUAAAAUCCCCAAAAUUUCGAUGGCGGGUUUUUUCAAACCCCGGAUCCAUAUUCUUUGAAUGAAUAUUGUUUCCUUGAUUUGGGGUUUGAAAGUUUUAAACUUUCCCUCGAAAAUGAUUUUAUUAAACAGUUGGGUUUUUGUAUACGGUUUUUUAUUUAUUUGAUCGUGCGUAAAUAUUUCGUCUUUAUCUGUUUCUAGGCACUGGUUUUAUUCAGUUGGGGAGAUUUUUUUAUUUGUAUAAUAAUGAGUAUAACUGAAUAAUGAGUUUUGCUGAGUUGAUUUAACGUAUUGGCUACUGCUUGGAAAUUGUCUUUUAGUUUUUAAGAAUUUUUUUCUCUUUGAUUAGUCUUAUUAUUUAAUUAUUUAUUGAUGUUGAGGUCAGCGGGGUUGAGAUGUCUCCUGAUCCUAUUGAAGAGGCCAGCCUGCUACAUUCAACAUUGCUGCAACUACAAGUUGAGUCCGUGUAGUUUUGAUAUGUCAUUGGUGACUGUGUGAAGUAAUACUAGUAUUGGUGAUAAGCUUUGUAAAAGGAAAUUGGUAGGCUAUGUAAAGGAAAAAGGGUCGUGUGCUUAUAAAUAUGAUGUAGCUGAAAGAUGUGGAGCAUUGGUUUAUCUUAACAAAUUCACUGAAAGAUGUGGAGCAUAUGUUGUUGUCAAGCAAGAGAUGAUGCAACCUAGUGCCAACAUCAAAGACAGGUAAAUUCCUUUCUAUAUAUUUAUCUUGUUUUUUCUAGUUUGCAUAUUGUCAUAAAUUUUUGUAUGAAGAAUCUCAACUUUGUAGGUUCAGAAAUGGAUGAUGAAUCCAUUGUUCAUCUUGUUUAUCAUGCUUACAAUCUCACAAAACUUUGUAUGUAUAUCAUCAACCAAAGAUUAGAAGCAAUGGAAGCAGGAGAGUCUACGAACAAUGACUUGUUGGACAUACAUUGUUGAAUUUUAAAAAAGUAGUGAUGGAGGAAUGAGUUUAAGGGAAGUAGUUGAUGAAGUGAAGCUCUUUUACUUCGCAGCAUAGGAAGCAAAUGCAGAGUGUCUCAUGUUAAACUUUUAUCUGAGUUAGGGAUUUUGUUUAGGUUAUCAACUUUAGUCUAUAUGUUUUUAAUUGGUCUUGUAGUUUUCGACCAGGUCAAUCUUGUAAUGUUAUCUAAACAUUAUGUACUUUUUUAUAUUUACAUUAUAAUUGUCAA